RNAcentral lists this long non-coding RNA (467 nucleotides) under Prunus persica (peach). Its description in RNAcentral is "long non-coding RNA (PPER_LNC006134)". Lineage: Eukaryota; Viridiplantae; Streptophyta; Magnoliopsida; Rosales; Rosaceae. The record is from RNAcentral.
GAAAAGAGGGUAAUGGAAAUAAUCUUUUGUGUAGUUGAGUCUAACUCUUGGCAGGUACCAGGUCUCAGAGAUCCCACAGUGCACAUGAUUUUUAUUGGGUGAUUCGGGAUUGGCAACAGGGAGUUAGACAAGAUGACUAACAAAAGGGGAAUUAUGGGAUGAUUGAGAUGGGUGUUAGUUCAUAUAAAUGGGCAUUCAGGACCAAGUGGUAUAAGCAUGGUAUGGGACGUGCAGGUCUGCUUGUCCAGUUAUAUGAAUUAACGGGAUUAGAUGAAGAGCAUUCAUACAUUAUUAUUAAUAAUGUGAUAUUUGGCUGUGUAAUUGUAUGUCACUUAAUUUAGUUAUAUCAAUUUCCUGUAAAAAAAAAAAAAUAAAAGGUUUAUAUCCCUACUGAGCUGUGGUUUCGCUCACCCCCUAACAGAUUUUACAGGUACCGAACCUGAAAUCUAGAGUUUGUGAUGAUUUUG